Molecule: transfer RNA, 61 nt
Filed under: Caenorhabditis brenneri
Lineage: Eukaryota; Metazoa; Nematoda; Chromadorea; Rhabditida; Rhabditidae
Rfam family: tRNA
About the family: Transfer RNA (tRNA) molecules are approximately 80 nucleotides in length. Their secondary structure includes four short double-helical elements and three loops (D, anti-codon, and T loops).
Source: Rfam by way of RNAcentral
AAUGGUGUAGCGGUUAGCACUCAGGACUUUGAAUCCUGCGACCCGAGUUCAAAUCUCGGUU